GACAGAGGGUGCAAACGUUGUUCGGAAUUACUGGGCGUAAAGCGCGUGUAGGCGGCCCGGCAAGUCGGAUGUGAAAGCCCUCGGCUCAACCGAGGAAGUGCAUUCGAAACUGCCGGGCUAGAGUCCUGGAGAGGAUAGUGGAAUUCUCGGUGUAGAGGUGAAAUUCGUAGAUAUCGAGAGGAACACCGGUGGCGAAGGCGGCUAUCUGGACGGUGACUGACGCUGAGACGCGAAAGCGUGGGGAGCAAACAGG
Molecule: ribosomal RNA, 253 nt
Filed under: uncultured bacterium
Lineage: Bacteria
Description: partial 16S ribosomal RNA
Rfam family: Bacterial small subunit ribosomal RNA
Source: RNAcentral